Molecule: ribosomal RNA, 253 nt
Filed under: uncultured bacterium
Lineage: Bacteria
Description: partial 16S ribosomal RNA
Rfam family: Bacterial small subunit ribosomal RNA
Source: RNAcentral
UACGUAGGCAGCGAGCGUUGUUCGGAGUUACUGGGCGUAAAGAGUGCGUAGGCGGUUUUCUAAGUUUGGUGUGAAAUCUCCCGGCUUAACUGGGAGGGUGCGCCGAAAACUGGAAGGCUUGAGUAUGGGAGAGGUAAGCGGAAUUCCUGGUGUAGCGGUGAAAUGCGUAGAUAUCAGGAGGAACACCUGCGGUGUAGACGGCUUACUGGACCAUAACUGACGCUGAGGCACGAAAGCGUGGGUAGCAAGCAGG